AAACGAUGAACACUAGGUGUCGGGGGAAUCGACCCUUUCGGUGUCGUAGCUAACGCGUUAAGUGUUCCGCCUGGGGAGUACGCACGCAAGUGUGAAACUCAAAGGAAUUGACGGGGGCCCGCACAAGCGGUGGAGUAUGUGGUUUAAUUCGAUGCAACGCGAAGAACCUUACCAGGGUUUGACAUCCUGCGAACCUCUUAGAAAUUUGAGGGUGCCUUCGGGAAUGCAGUGACAGGUGGUGCAUGGCUGUCGUCAGCUCGUGUCGUGAGAUGUUGGGUUAAGUCCCGCAACGAGCGCAACCCACGUUUUUAGUUGCCAGCAUUUAGUUGGGCACUCUAGAAAGACCGCCGGUGAUAAACCGGAGGAAGGUGUGGAUGACGUCAAGUCAUCAUGCCCCUUACACCCUGGGCUACACACGUACUACAAUGCUACGGACAAAGGGCAGCAAACUCGCGAGAGCUAGCAAAUCCCAUAAACCGUGGCUCAGUUCAGAUCGUAGGCUGCAACUCGCCUACGUGAAGUAGGAAUCGCUAGUAAUCGCAGGUCAGCAUACUGCGGUGAAUACGUUCCCGGGCCUUGUACACACCGCCCGUCACACCAUGGAAGUUGGCCAUGCCCGAAGUCGUUACUCCAACCCUUGUGGAGGAGGACGCCGAAGGUGGGGCUAAUGACUGGGGUGAAGUCGUAACAAGGUAGCCGUA
This 701-nucleotide ribosomal RNA is filed under the name uncultured bacterium. Its description in RNAcentral is "bacterial SSU rRNA". It matches the Rfam family "Bacterial small subunit ribosomal RNA", at positions 804 to 1504 of the family's 1533-position model. The record is from RNAcentral.